RNAcentral lists this long non-coding RNA (6878 nucleotides) under Physcomitrium patens. RNAcentral's name for it is "long non-coding RNA (PPAT_LNC012873)". Lineage: Eukaryota; Viridiplantae; Streptophyta; Bryopsida; Funariales; Funariaceae. The record is from RNAcentral.
AUUUUUUAGGUAAUCCCCAUAAUUAUUGUAUCAAUACUUCAUAAAAUAUCCAUAGGUUUAACUCGAUUGGAGUCAAUCAUUCUCAAAACCACUAUAAUAGGAAAUAAGUGACCCAAAUCCAAGUCCUCCAUUGUAGCAAUGUGAUUGCUCAUUUUACUUAUUCCGAAAGAAACCUCCCAGAAUAAACAUGUAUAAGAAGAUUCGAACACGAAGAAAGACCACAUAUAUGAGCUCCAAUUGUUAGAAUCAUGCAAUUAACCGCUACUGUUGAAUACUUACCAUACCGAAGAAUACUUAACUUUUCCUCCUAUUGUCCACUCUCUCAAAUCAAUACAAUAAUAUCCACGACAACGAUUUCAGUACCCUGUGUAAUUCACAAACACACAAGCAUAUACCAAACCCUGGAACAAAUAACUUCCAAUCCGCAAAAUCUGAUCAAGAUAAUUCCUUCGAUUACAAUUCCUCUCCACUGAACUUACAACCUUGCAAUAAAUAGUGACUGAAAACUUCCAUAUGUCCUCAAUCUUUCACAACAAUUGAUAAACAAUGAUCCAUAAAUAACUUCGUAAAUCAAACAUUAAUUCAUUAAAUCGAUUCUCUUCACUAGAAUCAACACUAACACAAAAGAAAUAAAAAAACUAAGAAGAAGAUAUAGCACCAAGCUUAUCCCCGACUCAGUACUAUUGCAGUCUGGUAUUUUCUUCCCCUCUUCCAUCUUCCUUAUACUACCCCAAGAUACCAACUCCUAUACUACAGAUGAUAACUACUUUUCUUGACUAUUCAUCCAUUCUACCUGCUGAACCACCUUUUCAGCAGUUAUCUAUUCUUGUUUACACUAUACACUAGGUAUCUACAUUUUGAAAAUAACUACUUAUUUUACAUAGCCCCACUCCUAACUGUGCAGCAUCCCUGCAAACAAAGUAUUGAUAAACAAAAAUCAAUCCCUUUUUUUUUAACUGGAUUGUUCAAUCUCUUCGAUUUCUGGCGUUGGCUCCAUUUAAUCUUAUUCCAAUACUAUAUCUUCUUCCUCCGACUCGUCUUGAAUCUUUGCCCUUAAUUGAGCUGUUAAAUCUUCAUUAUACGCUCCUAAUUCUCGAACCUAAGCUUCCAAUUUGAAGAUUCUAACAUCUUUAAUUUCUAGUUGUUGCUGCUGCUGUUACAAUUUCUCCUCUAAUUUUCCAAUUCUUACUCCUGUUGAGGCAAAUGUCUGUCACUGACCAAUACUAAUCAAAUCACUCUCCAAUUUCUUUAUUGUUUCCUUCAAAACAUCAAUUUCUGCCUGUAGCUCAUCCAUAUUGUUUCGAUAUUGGUCAUCCAAUUAUUUUUUUUCAAGCUCCAAUGCCUCCUUCUUCUCUCGUUCCAUCUUCAACUGAGCAUUCAUCUUCUCUUAUUCCAAUCUAUACGAUUUGCAAGUUUGUAGUAAUUCUUGCCUUUGAUUUUUCAGGAUAUGCUGAAUCCUUUGUUUUUCCUUUGACCAGUUUUCCACUUUUUCAUCCAAUUCACGUUUCACUCGUAUCUUGGAUUUCGAUUCUACCUUAAUGACUUAUUAUUGUUCCUUGAUUUUAUAAUUUUGUUCCAAUAUUAUUUUCUUACUCGCUUCCACUUGCCGUUUUAAGCUACCCUCAUCUUCGAGCUUACUCACCGUAAGUUGAAGCUAGGAAAUUUGACCCAAUAUAACUUUCUUAAGAUUUCACCCUUUCGUUACACCCCGUUGAAACCCUAAUUGGUUGCUUUUCCUUGGAACUAGUAUUGGUGUCGUCAUCUCUAUUGUCGACCAAAUUGGAACUCUCUCUAGUGUAGCUAUUGGUCUUGCUUCUUGUUCUCUUCCAAUCCUUCCAUUGGCUCCUGCUUCAACUGAGCUGAAAGGUCUUCAUUGUACUCGCCCAAUUCACGGACUAGAGCUUCUAAUUUCAAGAUCUGGACAUCUUUCAAUUCCAAUUGGCGCUGAAAGUGACUCCUCUCUUCUGGAAUAUUUUUAAUUGACACUUGUGACUGACUCCUCACUGUUAACUCUUAACUGAAACUACUACUCUCGAAAAUACAAGAAAUACAAGAAAAUGGCACUCCAGCCAACCCAAAACAACACCACAGAAUGACUUUAACUGGUGCCCCACUCCUAUUCUUUUACUACCUAGUGAUAAUGACAACAUGUUAGCCAUACUGUCCGUGAAAGGUAAUGAGAAGUAAUCUUUCUUGGUGGCUGCAUUAAGUGUUCAGAAAUCCUGAGAAAUCCUGAUUUUUCUAUUCUUCUUCGAUACCAUCACGAUUGGUGAUAUCCAUGCACUAUGCGGAACAAGAUAAAUAAAACCCACAUCGAGAAGUUUAUCCAAUUCCUCUUUCACUAAAAGGAAAUAUUUUGGAUUAAACCGGUGUUGUCUUUGACAAACUGGCGUAAUACCCUCCUCCAAAAUAAUCUGGUGCUCACACACCUCGGUUCGAAUCCCUUUCAAAUCCACAUACGAUCACGCAUAGGCAGAUUUGUGAUGGACAAAAAACUGUUUCCAAGCAUCCAAUUCUGUAUCGAUAAUAUCGGCAUAUAUUUUAAUUAGCUGUGGCAUUUUUUUGGUGCCCAGGUUAAUGGAUUGAUACACAGGGUCUUCAACAACCUCUAAUUUAAUUAUCUUUUCUUGAUCUAAAUAUCUUCUAUUAUUUGACAUAUGAGAACCAUCCAAAUCUGGUUCCAAUGUGUUGACUCUAUUCACUACGAAAUUAUUCAUCCAUUCAACAAUAGCAUAAUCCGAGUUAAUCACAUCCUCCUGAUACAGUAAAUAUUCACCGAGACCUCCACAUUGAUAGAUUCCUACCUUUGCUGUUGAAGUAUUUUAUCCUACUUCAAAUUAUAGUAAACCUAUAGCAUCAUCAUCUGCCUCAAUCGAUUGACUCUCAUUGUCUGAUGUAAAUUCUGAUUCUGGCAAUUGAGAUUUUCCAUGACAUUGUACCGGGUACAUCUGUAAAACAAUCUAGUCAUGGCCUUUUCCAAUUGUCAAUGUGCCUCAGCCCCAAUCGUUCUUAGCUUUGGCUUGAUAAAGCCAAGGUCUCUCCAAUAAAAUGAGAUACGAUAAUGUAGAACUCUGUAAUCGGAAUACAAUAUAAUCAAUUUUGUAUAACAAUCCCAUGAUUACAGUGGCAAUAUUUCAUAAGAUUCCCAUUGGUUUUACCUGACUAUGAUCUACCAUUCGCAAGACCAAUGUCGUAGGUAGCAAUUGCUUUAGAUUCAAGUCCUCCAUUGUAUCCACGUUCAUUAAAUUUACACUAGAGCCACCAUCGACUUGUAUCUCUGGACUUAAAAUGCCAUCGAUUGAUACAUCGAUUGUUGGUGCUCCCAGAUCUGGAUUUAAGCUAACUUCAUGAAUUUCUUUAGUGCGAGAUCUUUGUAGUAUUAAUGCUAAAUUCAAUGUAGAUCGACAUUUCGAUGCUACAGCCAAAAGUUGCUUCAUUGUAAUUGAAGGCUUAAUAACAUCCAAAUCCUUCAGAAUGUCGUAGGAUUCUAUAUUGAGAGUAAUUUCCAAUGUUCUUUUGCGUUUCAUUGGUUUUGAUUUUACUCCGUUCGGUAGCAAUUCCUUCCUGGCGAUUGGGAUUGCUGUUGAUAACUUUGCCAAUUUUCCUACCGCUAAAGGUUCCUUUAAUGCAUAAGAUCUUUUAUUGGACUGUACAGGUAUUGGUAGUUGGUCAGUUGGGAUCGUUUUUGAUAGUCCCGACAAAUUGGCAUGUGGAACCGAAUUGAGUUCCUCAGUCUGUUGAGGUCUCAAUAUUGGAAUACGUCCCAAUACUGAUAUUGGUUUGUUUAGCUAUAUGGACGACGCUACUUGCUCUCCUGUGAUUGGUUCAUCCCGGUUCUAAAUUAGAUUCUUGUCUUUUUAUUGGCCUCUGGUAAGUACUGUGUUCACCACCUCGACACGAUGUACUGGUGAGUCUCGUUGAACAGGGCCUUUGUCCUCCGCUGGUUGGCUUAUUUGUAUUUGCUAGUUUCGAUUAUUAUAAUUAAAGAGCAUAUUGCACUGCUCAUAAGUAUGUCUAGACUGCUUACAAUUUCCACAUAUUGGAGCAUAGUCAUCACUGGCCCUUGGAUUAGGAGAUUCACUUGCAUAAUGUCUGAUUUUUCUCCAACGAUAGCAACAAAGUGGUCUCCUGCCAAUUCCUUUAAGGAUAAUGGGUGUCUCUGCUCGUAUAUAAUGGCUAGAUCUGUUCCAUGUCAGAUGAGUAAAGGAUCCUGAUUGAUCCAUUGUUGCUGUAGACUCUGGCAUUGGCUUUGUCAUGGGUAGAUAUUAAUGGUAUCCUAGUUGAUUCAUCGCCAAUCCGUGAGUACUGAAUAUACCUUCUUGGUAAAAUUCAGAGUUGAAAAAAUUAGAAUAAUUCUUGUUUUAUUUAUUUGCUCAAUUUCCAUUCCAACCAAACCUAUUAUUUGUUUGGACUUGAUUGACAUCCCACGAAGUUGGUUGAGUCAUUAUCUGGUUACCGAGUUGUUGUUGCUUCCAUAAAUUCUAACAGUUGAUAAUAAUAUGCUUGCCCCAAAAAAGGUACAUUCUAUAGUCAUUUGGUGUGGUGAAGGACAUUUUGUUACUAAAUGACCUUGCCCCUUACAAUUAUUGCACCAGACAUUGGGACGCAUAUUGAUUGGUUUAUGCUUUUUUUCUUUAUCCUUGGUCAAAUUCACAUCCAAUUCAUCCAUUUUUUUUAUCAAUAUUAAUAGCAAUGACUCAUUGAGAUCCCUUGAUACCAAUGCAUUUGGCAAUUCCUUCAUAGGUGUUGGUUUUUGAUACAUGGAAUAAGGCGCAUACGAGUGUGAUGAUGAUAGUGGUACAGCUUGUAAUGAAACGACAUCUAUGAUUCCCUAUGGAAUUGUACCAUAAUCAUUCCUUCCCAGAUAACCUUCCGAUGUAUCAUUCCAAUUUUUCAUUUGAUAACCUUCUUGAGAUGGAAUCAUCGUGGCUCCAACUGUUAAGUUCAGGUCAUAGUGACAUUCCUCCCACACUUUCGCUUGCUCAAGAGAUGAUGCAAUGGUGGCUGAUUGGGCCUCCUUUACAAACAUCUUCAAUUCUGGUGGGUGUAGUCCAUGAACUAAUAUGGACAACAAAAACGAUUUCGGUAUUUGAUUAUUUGGCCAUUUUCGAAGUAUAUCUGCUAUGCGACAAUAAUAUGACUGUACCGCUUCCCUUGGUACCAUUCUGCUGUUCAUUAAUUUUUCAUUAAGACGUUCUUCAAAACCAAUUGAUCAAAAAUGGGCUAAAAAUAUAUUUUUCAAUGCCUCCCAAUUGAUAAAUUGUCCCACAGGUUGGCGGUUAUACCAAUCAAACGUUGUAUCUUUCAAUGUUGCUAGCAGUAAUUUCAACCAAAUAUCUUCUGUUCUUCCAUUAUUAGCUACACAUGCCGUCAAGAAUUGAGACAAAUAUUGAUCUGGAUCUACACCUCGCAAAUCCCAAAAAGUAGGUAAUGGUGUGAUGCUAGUCGUUCGAUUAUCUACUAUAUCCAUUUGUACUGCAAUCGAAAUGACUGGUCCUUUGGACGUCAUUAAAGAUGCCGGUGUUCUGCUCAAUUCCUUAUUAAAAUAAAAACUGUCACUUGCAAAAGUCUUUUUCAGACUUCUAGGCCUUUCCAAUUGACUAUUAUUAUUCCCAAAUAAUUUAACGAUUGAAUAUGAGGUGAAAACGAUAGGUUUUGAUAUACUCUGAAUUGGUCUUUAUUGGCAAGUGAUUUAUGCUGAUCUUCAGAAACAGUCUUGUUAGGAUCGGACGUAUUUUUAAUUGAAAAAAUACCCAAUGGAGUACCUAAUUCCUCUGUGCCUUCCUCGUUUUCCGUUAACGGCUUCAAGAGGUAUGCUGGACUAUUAGCAGCACUUUUCGCAAGUGCUCUUGGCAAUUUCUUUAACGGUAUGUACUUCUGAAAUAUUAGAGGUCGAUCAUCUGCUAUGUACGAUCGAAUAUGCCGAUAGGCAUGCAACCAUGGCUUAAUCCAACUUUGUCGAUGUUUCUUUUUUAAUUUGCGAUCUCCCUCAUUAUGCAACAAAUUUCUUGCUUGCGAUCACUCUGUUCUUUUCUUUGAUUGCUUUAUUCUCUUUGCUGUUAAAUUUUCAUUCUUAAUAAUCAUACUCUUUCAUUAUUUCUACUGAGUUUGCUUCCUAAUCUCCUUUACUGCUUCGACAGUUAAUUCCUAACACUCAAUAAUGUUGUCAAUCCUCGGCAGCAGUGCCAAAAUGUGAUUGCUCGUCUUACUUAUUCCAAAAGAAACUUCCUAGAUUAAAUCCAUAUAGGGAAAUUCAAACACGAAGAAAGACCAUGUAUAUGAGCUCCAAUUAUUAGAGUCACGCAAUUAACCGCUACUAUUGAAUGCUUACCAUACCAAAGAACACUUAACUUUUCCUCCUAUUGUCUACUCUCUCAUAUCAAUACAAUAAUAUCCACGACAACGAUUUUAGUAUCCUGUAUAAUUCAUGAACACACAAGCAUAUCCCAAAUCCUAAAACGAAUAACUUCCAAUCCACAAAAUCUGAUCAAGAUAAUUCCUUCGAUUACAAUUCUUUUCCACUGAACUUAUAACCUUGCGAUAAAUAGUGACUGAAAACUUCCAUACGUCCUCAAUCUUUUAUAACAAUUGAUAAAUAGUGAUCCAUAAAAAACUUCGUAAAUCAAACAUUAAUUCAUUAAAUUGAUUCUCUUCACUAGAAUCAACACUAACACAAAAGAAAUAAGAAAACUAAAAAGAAGAGAUAGCACCAAGCUUAUCCCCGGCUCAAUACUAUCGCAGUCUGGUAUUUUCUUCCCCUCUCCCGUCCUCCUUAUACUACCCCGAGAUACCAACUCAUAUACUAUAGAUGAUAACUAUUUUUCCUCACUAUUCAUCCAUUCUACUUGCUGAACCACCUUUUCAGCAGUUAUCUAUCC